This 504-nucleotide ribosomal RNA is filed under the name uncultured bacterium. RNAcentral's name for it is "partial 16S ribosomal RNA". It matches the Rfam family "Bacterial small subunit ribosomal RNA", at positions 30 to 523 of the family's 1533-position model. The record is from RNAcentral.
AUUGAACGCUGGCGGCAGGCCUAACACAUGCAAGUCGAACGGUAGCACAGAGAGCUUGCUCUCGGGUGACGAGUGGCGGACGGGUGAGUAAUGUCUGGGAAACUGCCCGAUGGAGGGGGAUAACUACUGGAAACGGUAGCUAAUACCGCAUAACGUCGCAACACCAAAGUGGGGGACCUUCGGGCCUCACACCAUCGGAUGUGCCCAGAUGGGAUUAGCUAGUAGGUGGGGUAAUGGCUCACCUAGGCGACGAUCCCUAGCUGGUCUGAGAGGAUGACCAGCCACACUGGAACUGAGGCACGGUCCAGACUCCUACGGGAGGCAGCAGUGGGGAAUAUUGCACAAUGGGCGCAAGCCUGAUGCAGCCAUGCCGCGUGUAUGAAGAAGGCCUUCGGGUUGUAAAGUACUUUCAGCGGGGAGGAAGGCGGUGAAGUUAAUAGCUUCACCGAUUGACGUUACCCGCAGAAGAAGCACCGGCUAACUCCGUGCCAGCCGCCGCCGUAA